RNAcentral lists this ribosomal RNA (649 nucleotides) under uncultured bacterium. Its description in RNAcentral is "bacterial SSU rRNA". It matches the Rfam family "Bacterial small subunit ribosomal RNA", at positions 858 to 1507 of the family's 1533-position model. The record is from RNAcentral.
CGUGAAGUUGACCGCCUGGGGAGUACGGCCGCAAGGUUAAAACUCAAAGGAAUUGACGGGGACCCGCACAAGCGGUGGAUGAUGUGGUUUAAUUCGAUGCAACGCGAAAAACCUUACCCACCUUUGACAUGUAUGGAAGACUGCAGAGACGCAGUUGUACUCGAAAGAGAGCCAUAACACAGGUGCUGCAUGGCUGUCGUCAGCUCGUGUCGUGAGAUGUUGGGUUAAGUCCCGCAACGAGCGCAACCCUUGUCAUUAGUUGCUACAUUUAGUUGGGCACUCUAAUGAGACUGCCGGUGACAAACCGGAGGAAGGUGGGGAUGACGUCAAGUCCUCAUGGCCCUUAUAGGUGGGGCUACACACGUCAUACAAUGGCUGGUACAAAGGGUUGCCAACCCGCGAGGGGGAGCCAAUCCCAUAAAGCCAGUCGUAGUCCGGAUCGCAGUCUGCAACUCGACUGCGUGAAGUCGGAAUCGCUAGUAAUCGUGGAUCAGAAUGUCACGGUGAAUACGUUCCCGGGUCUUGUACACACCGCCCGUCACACCAUGGGAGCGGGUUCUGCCAGAAGUAGGUAGCCUAACCGCAAGGAGGGCGCUUACCACGGCAGGGUUCGUGACUGGGGUGAAGUCGUAACAAGGUAACCAAGGGC